UCGCAUGUUACACGCGCUGUCAGUUCAGUCCAGUGCUUUGUCGCAAACACGCGUUGUGUUCAAUUGAUUAUCGACGGUAUAAAUACGAGUACCAACUUAAAUUUAAGAUUUGAUACCAACAGUGUACUCUACUUGCUGAUAAUAUCCAUGAGGUAGAUUUUGUGGAAAAACAUUUAUAGUGUCACAAUGCAAUCAAGUGGCUGUAAAACAUCAAUGGAACUUCGGAGGAAUGUCAUCCUGGCACCAAAUUAUUAUAGUUUUAUGAUUGUCUCACGCGGAAGCGCUUCGAGGCAUUGCUUUCUGUUAGUUUUAGGGUUCUAGAACAUCAAUGAAUUUAAGCAGGAAGGUUAUCCCUACAUAAAAUUGGCUCAAGAAAAUCAAUGGGUCCUUGCAGGAAGGUCAUUCUUUGCAUCAAAUUUUUCGUCUCCGUCGUUCAGUUUCUUCCAUCACACAUCUAAAUUUACAACUAUCGUGUAACAAACAUCUUCGAGAUUCGAGAUUUCAUUGUGGUUGCAUAAUGGCGUCUUCUUUGUUUGCAAACCAUUGAACAUAUUACACUCGUGUGACUCCAUUUCAUAUCUGUUUGAAUCUUACUUGUUUUACAUUUAAUAAUAUAAUUUGACAAUCUUUGACAAUCCUUAAUAUUAAAUUUUAAUAUUGCUCAAGUGUAGUACUUAGUUAUGGUAGUGUUUAUAAUAGUAUAAGUUUACUGUUUAAUAUAAUGUUUUAUAGAUUCGUUUUUACACUUUUAUGCGAAUUAUUUUGAUGUUAAAACACGUGGUGUAGUAUUUAUAUAUGAUGUAAAUGUUGUCAUUUGAAAGAUUUUGUUGCAAACAACCAUCGAAUAAUAUUGCGUUUGUUAUUA
Dalotia coriaria is the source of this 865-nucleotide long non-coding RNA. RefSeq lists it as uncharacterized. The transcript is spliced from 4 exons. The record is from RefSeq and is a predicted model, not a curated record. Lineage: Eukaryota; Metazoa; Arthropoda; Insecta; Coleoptera; Staphylinidae.